This 671-nucleotide ribosomal RNA is filed under the name uncultured bacterium. RNAcentral's name for it is "partial 16S ribosomal RNA". The record is from RNAcentral.
ACUAUGAAUUCUACCUCCCUCUAUCGUACUCUAGUGAGUUAGUUUUGGAUGCAGUUCCUAGGUUGAGCCCAGGGCUUUCACAUCCAACUUAACAAACCACCUACGCGCGCUUUACGCCCAGUAAUUCCGAUUAACGCUUGCACCUUCCGUAUUACCGCGGCUGCUGGCACGGAAUUAGCCGGUGCUUAUUCUGCAGGUAACAUCAAGGUUAUAAGGUAUUAGCUUAUAACUUUUUCUCCCUGCUUAAAGUGCUUUACAACCCGAAGGCCUUCUUCACACACGCGGUAUGGCUGGAUCAGGCUUGCGCCCAUUGUCCAAUAUUCCCCACUGCUGCCUCCCGUAGGAGUCUGGGCCGUGUCUCAGUCCCAAUGUGGCUGAUCGUCCUCUCAGACCAGCUAAAGAUCGUUGCCUUGGUGAGCCUUUACCUCACCAACAAGCUAAUCUUACGCAGGCUCAUCUAGUAGCGAAAGCUUCAAAGAGAGGCCUUCUUUCUCCCGAAGGAGGUAUACGGUAUUAAUCCGGGUUUCCCCGGGCUAUCCCCUUCUACUAGGUAGAUUCCUACGCGUUACUCACCCGUCCGCCGCUGUACUCGUAUCCGAAGAUACUUUCUCGCACGACUUGCAUGUGUUAAGCCUACCGCCAGCGUUCAAUCUGAGCCAGGAUCAAACUCU